This 362-nucleotide unclassified non-coding RNA is filed under the name Bartonella sp. An15ug. RNAcentral describes it as "partial 16S-23S ribosomal RNA intergenic spacer". The stretch from base 122 to 195 matches the Rfam family "tRNA". Lineage: Bacteria; Pseudomonadati; Pseudomonadota; Alphaproteobacteria; Hyphomicrobiales; Bartonellaceae. The record is from RNAcentral.
AAAAUCGUAGAUCUUAAAAACGUAUGUUUUUUUUUAAAAAAAGGCUUUAAAAGAAAAGGCAACACAAAGCUUUUCCAUUAUUCAAGAUGAUACCGGGGAAGGUUUUCCGGUUUAUCCCGGAGGGCUUGUAGCUCAGUUGGUUAGAGCGCGCGCUUGAUAAGCGUGAGGUCGGAGGUUCAAGUCCUCCCAGGCCCACCAAUUUAUGCUCAUUUAUUGCUGCUUGUUGUAAGCCUAUGAAGCUUAAGCGUGAAGCCUCUUUAAUCUUUGUUCGUUGUUGGGGAUUUUAUUUUGUCAUCCCAAGAUUGCCAAAGAUUUUUGUUAGAUUUGAUCAAUUUAAUUUGUCUAAAAGAAAAAUACUUCAA